This 832-nucleotide long non-coding RNA is filed under the name Dromaius novaehollandiae (emu). RNAcentral describes it as "lncRNA (ENSDNVG00000013645.1)". The record is from RNAcentral. Lineage: Eukaryota; Metazoa; Chordata; Aves; Casuariiformes; Dromaiidae.
UGCACACCAGUCCGAGAGCCUUUUUUUCUUUCUUUCUUUCUUUCUUUUUUUUAAACCGUGACUUUAUUCAGGUUUCUCGUUGUUGAUUUUCAGGUGCGGAAGUUACCUUCUUCUCAAAGAUGUUGCUUUUCUUUCUGGGUUAGCUUUUAGAAACUGGGUGAGCCGUAUUGUGCAGCCUUGCUCGCAGACUCUCGCUUAAGUGAACRCGUUUGCUAGGGCAGGUGUUUUAUGCUGCUUGGAUUCCUGGAAAUCCCUGAUAAAUUUUUAACAGGUUCUGUUACCAGCUGCAUUUGGAGCUGAGCAACAUUUCCCAGCAUAGUCUGUUGUUCUGCUAAUUCUUAGGGCCUGCGUGCGUAGCUCGUGUAACAGAUGUUUGUAUCUUUAUGUUGUCUUACUUCAGCACCUCCUGCUCCACGAGGUCAACGGCAUUCAGGACAAAUCUAUAAAUUACAGAUGAAGAAUKUAAUGAGUUCUGCUGGAAUCCCUUCUGGCUAGUUGAAAAGUGGUACAGUGCGUCAGAAAUACUGCUUUUCUGGGAAAGCGUGACCCCUUUAUUGAGGAAGAGGUGGCGGUUUCAGAUACUUGUGUGGGAUCGGGAGUCUUCUUGAUCAGAUGUCCUCUGAGACUUGGUUUCCUGUGUGUAAUUUUAAUGGGCCACUGUGAAGUUAAUCAGGCCUGCUCAGAGCAGAGGCAGGACGUUGGUGCUGCUGCUUGUGAUGUGUGCUGGCUGUCAUCCAGCACCUCUGGAAAGCACCAGAAAGGCUCCCAUCGACUUCAGGUAAGGUUAGAGCAGGCCUUAAACCCACAAAGAUCGGUUAGUUCUGCUGUCAUG